UCUUGAGGGGGGGUUCUUUCGAAGGAACUGUUUUUGAUGCCAGUGGAAACUGAAAAUUCACCAAGCAAAUGACUUGCUUGCUUUCAGCUGAUUCAAACCCUAAAUCCAUGUUCAAUGCAGCAGCCAUAAUGGUGGAGCUGUAUCCAUGAACAUUCAUCUCUGCAAACCAACAUUUCUUGAACUGUGGUGUUGAAAAGUGCACAGAGUCUAGCUGUAAGAGAACCUUAGCUUGAAACAUGGAUGUCGAAGAGAAGAAUGCUCCUUUUAGACGAUUUGUCAAUCCACCAUCUGGUGACCAGCAUCUCUUGCUUUACUUCAUCAUGAGCAUUCUUGGGUCCUGAUGUGUACUCUGAUAACCCAGGAUGUUCAGCAGCUCAUGGAAUAGCUAAAGGGUUACCACCAUAUACUUCAAACAAGCUGGGUGACUCAUUUCUCCGUGUUUCUCAAUUGGAGAGCUUGUAUUACUGUCCUUAGAAAUGCUCAUCCUAGCCUGGUUUUGAAUCCAAAUAUGUUGUGCUUUUAUCUUAAAGGCAAGUUGCAUUUGUCAGGCUCAGGGGCACUAGAGGACUGCAGGUAGUUCACAAGUUUUUUUUACUUAAGAGUACUUGUGGUCAUAGAAGGUACUCAGCAAUCCAUGAAAUUUUGAAGGGGAUUGUUCUUAUUGAGAAUCCAGAUACAUCUUACAUGAGAAAAGAAGACCUGGAAAGGUUCAAAUACUUAUCUGGCAUGGAUAGUUUGAAGAUUGAUAAUAAAGAAAUGCCUAUGCUAUGAGCAUGGAUCCCAGAAAGGUGGAGAAGAAACUGAGCAAACACUCGUGCCAAUCAUGAGAAAAUUGCGGGCACUAUUUCUUCUAGACAUGAGAAACCACCAGCAAUGUUUCAACAGCAAACAAAAGGGGUCACCUUUGCAACCUUCCAGUGCCAGCACUGAAGAAAGCACUUUUGGGAGGAGCUGCAAAUUGGAUGAGUCCACCUUCUGUUGCUUUUCCUGAAUUCGAAGAUUAUAUCACAGAUGUAUCUGUCAUUUUAUCUGGCAGGGCAAGAAGGGGGUACCUGGACCACCAAUCAGAAUUGUCGAUGUAGGCAGUUGCAUAAUUUUUUCAAGUUGCUCUUCCUGUUGUGCGGAUUGAUUCUUGCAAUUCCAGCACGACAACCUUUCAUCGUUAAACUCGAAGACAGCGGGGCCACAAUUUGACGUGGCAUCCUUCUAACUGGUUCACGGCCAUAUAUAAUAACCAUGUUGGAAGUGAAGAGGACCGACCAAAGUACUCCCACCAAACUGCACAGUGACAACACCAACUCCACAGUGACAACACCAACUCUGCUGCCCACCGCCGUCGACUAUCUUAAAGGUAAAGUUUCCGGCUACAGCAAGGAAUAAAAAUUAAUUCUUCAAUUCCAUUGUUUUGUUUGGAAUGAUAAAAUGAUGUUCAUGGACUGAUUUAGUGUACCAUUUUUACAUUUUCUGUUGGUUAAUGUGACAGGAAGGAACAGACACUAGACUUGGCCUUAGCUAAAAGACCUAAAAAAACAUCUUGCCCAUAGAUUUUCUUUUCUUUUCUUUUUCUUAGUGAAAAGCCAUCGUUUUUUAUAUGUAUGAGCUUGCCUCCGGUUGCUCCAUUAAUUAUAUGUGUGAUGCAUAAUAAGUGCAUUUGAGCUUUUUAUUUAUAUAAGCUGAAUUCGGUUAUGUUUAGUUUUUUCAUGGCUCAAUUGAUGUAGACAGAGAUUUUGAAAGGUGUUGAAACACUGUAAUCUUAUUGGUAUUAGGGUUCUGUAAUUGAUGGAUAAAUUAGAACAUGAAAGGAAAAUUUAGAGAAAGAGGGAAAUAGUGAUUAUGAAUGUAGUUUGCUUAGAAGUGGAAUCAUUGCUUAGUUAAUUCCAUGAAAUUUUAUGCAAAGUUUUCUAUAAUUUGAUUAAUGGAAGUCAUUUGGUUAUCCAUUCUUUAAUUAUGUCUCUUCGGAUGUAAAUUAGGGUUUCUUUCACAAUUGUUCGGUUUUUCAGUUUUGUUCUUAUGUCUAACUAUGCAAAAAGAACUCCUAUUUUUGCCUUUCUUCUAUUAUCUGCGUUGUUUUCUAAAUUACCGACACUUCUAAAUUAAGAUGUACUUAUUCAGCUACCAUCUAAAAUAAGAUUCUUUGAUGAGUUCAUAACUGAACAUGCUAUUUUGCUGUCUCUAUUUAUUCUGCGUUUAUUAGAUGCUCUGACAUUUUGCAAUUUCCGAAUAAUGACACAAGUCUCAUCGGUGUAGCUUCUUCCUUAUUUUAUUCAUUCCUAUUUCAUCUAGUUUAGUAGCUUCUUCCUUAUUUUAUUCAUUCCUAUUUCAUCUAGUUUAGUAGCUUCUUCCUUAUUUUAUUCAUUCCUAUUUCAUCUAGUUUACAUUUGUUUUGUCGUGGCAGCAUUAGCAUUCUUUUUGUGAUAAUUGUGUUGUUUGACUUUACUUAAUGCUUUGGCAAACUUUUUGAAACAUAUCUUCUGCUAUUUCAUUCAAUGCCUGACACAGAAAAAAACGGCGAAUGUUUUAUUGAAACGACCCAUCAGUUGAAUUUAGUACCGAGGUGUCAUUUUCAUGGGCAAGGUAUUUCAGCUAUAUAUUUGUGAUUGGGUUGGUUCUGGUGGAAGUGUCUUUGAUUUUCUCUUCCAUUCUUCCUCAGUAAUCUAUAUCUUUUAGCAUGGCUUGUAGGAAACAUAAGAAACCUGCGUCCCAUGCAAUUUUUGCAAUAUUCACUGUAAUCUUCAGGCCUCAAGUUCUGAUUAUCUGAUGAUUGUCUUUGAGUGCCUAAGUUGGUCAUCUUCUACGAUAUUGGGCUUAUGGGACGCCCCCAUCAGUGGAGCUAUGGCUUUCAUUUCGUGUUUGUUCCAAAUUGCAUCGUGAGCCAGAACUAGCUGAACCACACAGUGCAAAGUUUGGACCUUCACCAUUCUUCUUUUAUCAUCACCAGCACUAGCUGAACCACACAGUGCAAAGUUUGGACCUUCACCAUUCUUCUUUUAUCACGGCUCUUACUCCAAGGGUUUGCUUGGGAAUUGGCUGUCUGUUAAAACUGGAAAUACUUGUGGCUCUAUAUUGUUCCUUUGUAUAGGGAAAAAUAUUCCGAGGGCUAGAUGUUUAAAUAUGGGACAGCCAUUCUGGAGCCAGAUUUUUCUUAUGGAUUCAAGAUUUCCUUUAGUGACUGAAUUAUAAAAUGGUUGACCUAUUUGUUGUUUA
This is a long non-coding RNA of Populus trichocarpa (black cottonwood), 3204 nucleotides long. RefSeq lists it as uncharacterized. The transcript has 3 exons. NCBI's taxonomy places the organism in Eukaryota, Viridiplantae, Streptophyta, Magnoliopsida, Malpighiales, Salicaceae. The record is from RefSeq and is a predicted model, not a curated record.